UAGUCGAUAUAUCAGCUUCGUGUGGUUU
RNAcentral lists this small RNA (28 nucleotides) under Bombyx mori (domestic silkworm). RNAcentral's name for it is "ovarian small RNA-6466". The record is from RNAcentral. Lineage: Eukaryota; Metazoa; Arthropoda; Insecta; Lepidoptera; Bombycidae.